GGGGUUGUAGCUUAGUGGUAGAGUGCUUGCCUUGCAUGCAUGAGGCACUGGGUUCAAUCCUCAGAACCACA
RNAcentral lists this transfer RNA (71 nucleotides) under Ictidomys tridecemlineatus (thirteen-lined ground squirrel). RNAcentral's name for it is "Spermophilus tridecemlineatus (thirteen-lined ground squirrel) tRNA". It matches the Rfam family "tRNA". From Rfam's summary of the family: Transfer RNA (tRNA) molecules are approximately 80 nucleotides in length. Their secondary structure includes four short double-helical elements and three loops (D, anti-codon, and T loops). Lineage: Eukaryota; Metazoa; Chordata; Mammalia; Rodentia; Sciuridae. The record is from Rfam by way of RNAcentral.